GGGACCCCAGGUCAGGCGGGACCACCCGCUGAGUUUAA
RNAcentral lists this ribosomal RNA (38 nucleotides) under Sempervivum zeleborii. RNAcentral describes it as "partial 26S ribosomal RNA". The record is from RNAcentral. Lineage: Eukaryota; Viridiplantae; Streptophyta; Magnoliopsida; Saxifragales; Crassulaceae.